This 353-nucleotide ribosomal RNA is filed under the name Eukaryota sp. RNAcentral's name for it is "SSU rRNA". It matches the Rfam family "Eukaryotic small subunit ribosomal RNA", at positions 1325 to 1699 of the family's 1831-position model. The record is from RNAcentral.
UCGUUAACGAACGAGACCUCGACCUGCUAAAUAGUUCUAGUCAUCUUCCGAUGGCUGGACACUUCUUAGAGGGACUAUCGGUGGUUAGCCGAUGGAAGUUCGAGGCAAUAACAGGUCUGUGAUGCCCUUAGAUGUUCUGGGCUGCACGCGCGCUACACUGAUACGUUCAUCGAGCUCCUGCCUUAACUGAAAAGUUUGGGUAAUCUUCUCAAUGCGUAUCGUGAUGGGGAUAGAUUAUUGUAAUUUUUGAUCUUCAACGAGGAAUUCCUAGUAAACGCGCGUCAUUAACGCGCAUUGAUUACGUCCCUGCCCUUUGUACACACCGCCCGUCGCUAAUACCGAUUGAAUGGGUA